AGAGAGGAAUGAGGGGAAGUCAAAGUGUCCAGAGAGGAACGAGGGGAAGUCAAAGUGUCCAGAGAGGAGUGAGGGGAAGUCAAAGUGUCCAGAGAGGAAUGAGGGGAAGUCAAAGUGUCCAGAGAGGAAUGAGGGGAAGUCAAAGUGUCCAGAGAGGAGAGCCGAGCAUCCACCGCGGGUAGCCCUGAUCACGUGACCACCCUGUCUGCUGCUGGCUGAGUGAAGCGUGUUAGCAGAUUUUUUUAUUUUGUACAUACAGAGUUUUGUAUAUACUGUAUAAGAUGAGCUCGCUGGGCGGCGAGAAGGCCCGCGGCCCCCGUGAAAAAGUGCCGCCUGCUGCCACUCACACAUCCCAACCACAAAAACAGAUACAGGCUACUGCUGAGCAAAUCCGGCUUGCACAGAUGAUCUAUGACAAGAAUGAUGCUGACUUUGAAGACAAAGUGAAUCAGCUAAUGGAGGUGACUGGCAAGAACCAGGAUGAAUGUAUGGUCGCGCUCCAUGACUGCAACGAGGACGUGAGCAGAGCCAUCAACUUCCUCCUGGAGAGCACCUCGGACAUGACCUCAUGGGAGACUGUAGGCAAGAAGAAGCCGCUGACAAAGGAGGGUGCCUCAGAAAGCAAGGAGAACAAGGAGAACCGGGAGAAGAAAGGCGAGAGAGAGGCCAGCAAAGGCCGUGCAGGUUCCAACCGCAAGGGCAAAGGGGCCAAUCGAAGCCGACAGGGCGCAGUUCGUUCAGAGGAAAAUGGCGUAGAGGUGACCCCGGUGGACCGAAGUUCCGAUCGAGGGCGGAGGACGAAAGGUGGCAGGGUGUCUGCUGGUCGAGGCAGAGGAAGAGCACCAACAGCGAGCAGAUUUUCAGCCCAGGGAAUGGGGACCUUCAACCCUGCAGACUAUACCUCAGAGGCAAGGACGGCGACCACACAGAGUGAGGCUUGGGACACAGCAGCUAACAACAAUUCAGAUGAAACGGCUAACUGGAAGAACCCCAUUGAAGACUACGGAUCUGAGGACUGGAGUGAGGAUGUUAGUCUCUCGGAGACCAAAGUGUUCACUUCUUCAUGUGCGCCUCCUGCUGAAAACCACAUCACUCCUGGGCAAAGUCUGGACCUCGCCUCCCUGCUGCAGAAGCCUGUGGUCGGAGGCAGAGAAGCACCCGCCUCCUCCUCCUCCCCGCAGAGUCUGGUCUUCACUAACUCUCACCACCACCAGCCGCCCCAGCAGCAACAUCAGCAGCCCCCUCCCAGCCGCAACACCACCAGCGGCACCAGCUAUGCUCACGCUGCUUUGUCGUCAGUCCUGGGAGCGGGGUUCGGAGACCUGGGCCAAGCCAAGAGGUCCGCGCCAAGUGCCGGAGCUCAGAUACUGGAACAGCUGAAGGGCCCUGGCUUGGGUCCUCUGCCAUCAUCCCAAGUGGCCCCUCUCGCCAGCACCCAGGGAGGAAACCAUUCAAGUGGUCGUCUGCCAGCCCUGGGAGCACCUGUACCUCCGCCCUCCUCCUCCAGCUGGGACAUGAAGGUGCCCGAAUCCAACACCACCUCACUGUCCUCACAGUUCAGCCGUGAGUUUGGCCUCCAGCCAGAACCUUCACUAGUGCUGAGCCAGCUCAUUCAGAGGCACACGGGCCCCUCACUGCCUCUGGCUCGUCAGCCCAGUCCCCAAUCGCAACAACAAGCGCCCCCUGCAUCCGUCUCCUCUGCUUCUCAGCACAGCGGCACGUCGACACAAGCGGGCCCGGUGACGGCGGCUGCUGGUGCCAAACAUCCAGCCCCAGGUGCAGGGCUGGAAGCUCAGGGCUGCGGCACACCACAGCAGCAGCGAGCACAGCUAAAAGGCCAGAAACGAAGGAUACCUCCAACUUCGAAGAUCCCCGCCACGGCAGUAGAGAUGCCCGGCGCCACGGAUCUCCCCGGUCUUAACCUUCAGUUUGGAGCGCUCGACUUUGGCUCUGAAUCCGCUCUGCCUGAGUUCGGAGUUGUGGACGGCUCUGUCAGCGCACCAUCCAGGGAUUCCUCUUCGGCACCUGGCCUGGUGCCACCUGCAUCAGGACCAGGGACGCAGAGCCAGACCAGCAUGUACUCCAAACCGCUCAGUGAGUCGCUGGGGAGCCCUCUCUCGGUCGACCUCCCUCUUCCUCUCUCCUCGUCGGAGCCGGCAUAUCACUCUUCCUCGGCGGCACUGCCCAGUCUCACGGCCUCUUCAUUAGGGACGGCCAGCUCGGCCUCAUUGUCACUCACCACAUCCACCACCUCCUCGUGCUCCGUACCCUCGGCCUCCCCCUUCUCUGCAGUGGGAGGAAGCUUUGAGGGGCCCAUGCCUCCCCACACUCGACUCUCUUUCCCCCAGAGCAAAGAAACCACUGGGCCAGUUAUGAAUGGUCUGAAUGGAGUUAGGACCUCUACAGCUUUAGACAUUCCCUCAGCGUCGUCCACACCAAAGCCCGAAUCUCCGUCUCUCAACGUCAACACCAACGGCGCUCCGCCCCCCUCCUCCCACUUAGCCCCUCCCACCUUGCCCGCACAGACCUCCACCACGCUGUCCGGCCUGGUACAGGAUCUUCCCUCUGCCAGCCAGCUUAACUCCCUCAACAGCCAUGCCAGCAGUCUUUCCUCAUCCCUCGGCUCUAGUGCCCUCACCUACAGCAGCGUUGACAGCAACAACGUGGGCUCUCUCACGCCCUCCUCUGGCCCCUACACGCCAUUGCACCCGGCGCCCUCAUCCCUCCACUCGGCCCACAUCAGCAGCAACAGUAGCAGCAACAGCAUCAGUCACCUGGUCAGCAUGUCCAACAUGGGCGGCAACAUGGUGGGCAACAUGGUGGGAGGUAUGGUCGGCACCGGCGGACUUCACUCUGCUGCCAGCAGCUCAGCGCUGGGACUUGGCUCCAAUGGAGUUACCGGCAUAUCCAACCUUGCCGCACCCAGGAACACUCCCCUGCUCUCCUCCUCCACUGGUAAAGCCCCUCCUAACCUGUCCCAAGGAGUUCCUCCUCUGAUGCCCAACCAGUACAUCAUGGGUCCAGGAGGACUGUUGGCAGCGUAUCCACAGAUGUACGGCUAUGAGGACCUCCAUAUGCUCCAGUCCAGACUGCCCAUGCCUUCUCUGCAGGAUUACUACGGCAUCACAUUCCCCGGCCCCACCGCCACUCUGUCCAGCAGAGACGGGGGCCUGGCCAACAACCCCUACUCAGGUGAAGUCACAAAGUUUGGUAGGAACGACUCCACCUCUCCAGCACCGCCCGCCAGCCUGGCAGCUCAGCAGCAGCCCCCCCAGGGCCAAAGUCAGGGCCAGAACCAAGGCCAAGCUCCGCCUCCUCAGGCCCCGCCUCAGCCGCAGGGCCAACCUCAGCACCACAGCAGUCAGCAGGCCUUCCUGCCUCCCGGCUACAGCUACACGGGACUGCCUUACUACGCCGGGAUGCCCGGCGCCGUUCCCGGCGCGGCCGCCUUCCAGUACGGCCCCACCAUGUUUGUUCCCCCGGGGGGUCCGGGCUCGGCCAAGCAGCACGGCAUGGGUCUCGGCCUGGGCAACCCGUCGGCGAGCCCCUUCCAGCAGCAGACGCAACAGCAGCCCGGCGGUUACGGCCAGCACACCUUCAGCUCAGGGUAUGAGGAUCUGCCGGCAGGAGUGGACUACAGUAAAGUACAGUAGACUACAGUGUGUGUGUGUGUGUGUGUGCAGGGUAUGAGGAUCUGCCGGCAGGAGUGGACUACAGUAAAGUACAGUAGACUACAGUGUGUGUGUGUGUGUGUGUGCAGGGUAUGAGGAUCUGCCGGCAGGAGUGGACUACAGUAAAGUACAGUAGACUACAGUGUGUGUGUGUGUGUGUGUGCAGGGUAUGAGGAUCUGCCGGCAGGAGUGGACUACAGUAAAGUACAGUAGACUACAGUGUGUGUGUGUGUGUGUGUGCAGGGUAUGAGGAUCUGCCGGCAGGAGUGGACUACAGUAAAGUACAGUAGACUACAGUGUGUGUGUGUGUGUGUGUGCAGGGUAUGAGGAUCUGCCGGCAGGAGUGGACUACAGUAAAGUACAGUAGACUACAGUGUGUGUGUGUGUGUGUGUGCAGGGUAUGAGGAUCUGCCGGCAGGAGUGGACUACAGUAAAGUACAGUAGACUACAGUGUGUGUGUGUGUGUGUGUGCAGGGUAUGAGGAUCUGCCGGCAGGAGUGGACUACAGUAAAGUACAGUAGACUACAGUGUGUGUGUGUGUGUGUGUGCAGGGUAUGAGGAUCUGCCGGCAGGAGUGGACUACAGUAAAGUACAGUAGACUACAGUGUGUGUGUGUGUGUGUGUGCAGGGUAUGAGGAUCUGCCGGCAGGAGUGGACUACAGUAAAGUACAGUGGACUACAGUGUGUGUGUGUGUGUGUGUGCAGGGUAUGAGGAUCUGCCGGCAGGAGUGGACUACAGUAAAGUACAGUAGACUACAGUGUGUGUGUGUGUGUGUGUGCAGGGUAUGAGGAUCUGCCGGCAGGAGUGGACUACAGUAAAGUACAGUAGACUACAGUGUGUGUGUGUGUGUGUGUGCAGGGUAUGAGGAUCUGCCGGCAGGAGUGGACUACAGUAAAGUACAGUAGACUACAGUGUGUGUGUGUGUGUGUGUGCAGGGUAUGAGGAUCUGCCGGCAGGAGUGGACUACAGUAAAGGCUACAACUCGUCCCCUCAGGCAGCCAAUAAGAGCGGCCCAGGAAAAGGUGUGUCGGUGACGUCCAGUAACUCUGGUGUGCCAGACAUCAGUGGGAGUGUUUACAAUAAGACCCAG
RNA transcript from Entelurus aequoreus (snake pipefish), 4762 nucleotides. It is a transcript of the gene named ubiquitin associated protein 2a, with no coding region annotated. NCBI's taxonomy places the organism in Eukaryota, Metazoa, Chordata, Actinopteri, Syngnathiformes, Syngnathidae. The transcript is spliced from 25 exons. The record is from RefSeq and is a predicted model, not a curated record.